UUUUACUUAAUAGAAAUCUCUCUUGGACAAGCGGAUUCUCCAUUUCUUUAAUAUUCCUUUUGUUCAAAAUCAUCAAU
Molecule: small RNA, 77 nt
Filed under: Arabidopsis thaliana (thale cress)
Lineage: Eukaryota; Viridiplantae; Streptophyta; Magnoliopsida; Brassicales; Brassicaceae
Description: ATSL081000
Source: RNAcentral